AAAUUGAAGAGUUUGAUCAUGGCUCAGAUUGAACGCUGGCGGCAGGCCUAACACAUGCAAGUCGAACGGUAGCACAGAGAGCUUGCUCUCGGGUGACGAGUGGCGGACGGGUGAGUAAUGUCUGGGAAACUGCCUGAUGGAGGGGGAUAACUACUGGAAACGGUGGCUAAUACCGCAUAACGUCGCAAGACCAAAGAGGGGGACCUUCGGGCCUCUUGCCAUCAGAUGUGCCCAGAUGGGAUUAGCUAGUUGGUGAGGUAACGGCUCACCAAGGCGACGAUCCCUAGCUGGUCUGAGAGGAUGACCAGCCACACUGGAACUGAGACACGGUCCAGACUCCUACGGGAGGCAGCAGUGGGGAAUAUUGCACAAUGGGCGCAAGCCUGAUGCAGCCAUGCCGCGUGUAUGAAGAAGGCCUUCGGGUUGUAAAGUACUUUCAGCGGGGAGGAAGGUGUUGUGGUUAAUAACCGCAGCAAUUGACGUUACCCGCAGAAGAAGCA
This 500-nucleotide ribosomal RNA is filed under the name Salmonella enterica. RNAcentral's name for it is "bacterial SSU rRNA". It matches the Rfam family "Bacterial small subunit ribosomal RNA", at positions 1 to 492 of the family's 1533-position model. The record is from RNAcentral. Lineage: Bacteria; Pseudomonadati; Pseudomonadota; Gammaproteobacteria; Enterobacterales; Enterobacteriaceae.